GACGAACGCUGGCGGCGUGCCUAAUACAUGCAAGUCGAGCGGACCAAAGGGAGCUUGCUCCUGGAGGUUAGCGGCGAACGGGUGAGUAACACGUGGGCAACCUGCCUGUAAGACUGGGAUAACAUCGAGAAAUCGGUGCUAAUACCGGAUAAUAAAAAGAACUGCAUGGUUCUUUUUUGAAAGAUGGUUUCGGCUAUCACUUACAGAUGGGCCCGCGGCGCAUUAGCUAGUUGGUGAGGUAACGGCUCACCAAGGCAACGAUGCGUAGCCGACCUGAGAGGGUGAUCGGCCACACUGGGACUGAGACACGGCCCAGACUCCUACGGGAGGCAGCAGUAGGGAAUCUUCCGCAAUGGACGAAAGUCUGACGGAGCAACGCCGCGUGAGUGAUGAAGGUUUUCGGAUCGUAAAACUCUGUUGUUAGGGAAGAACAAGUGCCGUUCGAAAGGCGGCACCUUGACGGUACCUAACGAGAAAGCCACGGCUAACUACGUGCCAGCAGCCGCGGUAAAG
This 513-nucleotide ribosomal RNA is filed under the name uncultured bacterium. RNAcentral's name for it is "bacterial SSU rRNA". It matches the Rfam family "Bacterial small subunit ribosomal RNA", at positions 28 to 525 of the family's 1533-position model. The record is from RNAcentral.